Molecule: ribosomal RNA, 845 nt
Filed under: Limosilactobacillus fermentum
Lineage: Bacteria; Bacillati; Bacillota; Bacilli; Lactobacillales; Lactobacillaceae
Description: bacterial SSU rRNA
Rfam family: Bacterial small subunit ribosomal RNA
Source: RNAcentral
AUUGAUUUUGGUCGCCAACGAGUGGCGGACGGGUGAGUAACACGUAGGUAACCUGCCCAGAAGCGGGGGACAACAUUUGGAAACAGAUGCUAAUACCGCAUAACAACGUUGUUCGCAUGAACAACGCUUAAAAGAUGGCUUCUCGCUAUCACUUCUGGAUGGACCUGCGGUGCAUUAGCUUGUUGGUGGGGUAACGGCCUACCAAGGCGAUGAUGCAUAGCCGAGUUGAGAGACUGAUCGGCCACAAUGGGACUGAGACACGGCCCAUACUCCUACGGGAGGCAGCAGUAGGGAAUCUUCCACAAUGGGCGCAAGCCUGAUGGAGCAACACCGCGUGAGUGAAGAAGGGUUUCGGCUCGUAAAGCUCUGUUGUUAAAGAAGAACACGUAUGAGAGUAACUGUUCAUACGUUGACGGUAUUUAACCAGAAAGUCACGGCUAACUACGUGCCAGCAGCCGCGGUAAUACGUAGGUGGCAAGCGUUAUCCGGAUUUAUUGGGCGUAAAGAGAGUGCAGGCGGUUUUCUAAGUCUGAUGUGAAAGCCUUCGGCUUAACCGGAGAAGUGCAUCGGAAACUGGAUAACUUGAGUGCAGAAGAGGGUAGUGGAACUCCAUGUGUAGCGGUGGAAUGCGUAGAUAUAUGGAAGAACACCAGUGGCGAAGGCGGCUACCUGGUCUGCAACUGACGCUGAGACUCGAAAGCAUGGGUAGCGAACAGGAUUAGAUACCCUGGUAGUCCAUGCCGUAAACGAUGAGUGCUAGGUGUUGGAGGGUUUCCGCCCUUCAGUGCCGGAGCUAACGCAUUAAGCACUCCGCCUGGGGAGUACGACCGCAAGGUUGAAACUCA